UACGUAGGGAGCAAGCGUUGUCCGGAAUCAUUGGGCGUAAAGCGCGCGUAGACGGUUAUCUAAGUCGGAUGUGAAAGCCCCGGGCUCAACCUGGGAAUUGCAUUCGAGACUGAAUAGCUAGGGUGCGGUAGAGGGAAGCGGAAUUUCCGGUGUAGCGGUGAAAUGCGUAGAUAUCGGAAGGAACAUCAGUGGCGAAAGCGGCUUCCUGGACCAGCACCGACGUUCAGGCACGAAAGCGUGGGGAGCAAACAGG
RNAcentral lists this ribosomal RNA (253 nucleotides) under uncultured bacterium. Its description in RNAcentral is "partial 16S ribosomal RNA". It matches the Rfam family "Bacterial small subunit ribosomal RNA", at positions 524 to 776 of the family's 1533-position model. The record is from RNAcentral.